This 478-nucleotide ribosomal RNA is filed under the name uncultured bacterium. RNAcentral's name for it is "partial 16S ribosomal RNA". It matches the Rfam family "Bacterial small subunit ribosomal RNA", at positions 28 to 523 of the family's 1533-position model. The record is from RNAcentral.
GACGAACGCUGGCGGCGUGCUUAACACAUGCAAGUCGAGCGAGGAAAUUCCUUCGGGAGUUUCCUAGCGGCGGACGGGUGAGUAACACGUGGGCAACCUGCCUGAUAGAGGGGGAUAGCCUCCCGAAAGGGAGAUUAAUACCGCAUAAAGUCAAAUGAAGGCAUCUUCAAAUGACCAAAGGAGUAAUCCGCUACCAGAUGGGCCCGCGGCGCAUUAGCUAGUUGGUGAGGUAACGGCUUACCAAGGCGACGAUGCGUAGCCGACCCGAGAGGAUGAUCAGCCACACUGGAACUGAGACACGGUCCAGACUCCUACGGGAGGCAGCAGUGGGGAAUAUUGGACAAUGGGGGCAACCCUGAUCCAGCCAUGCCGCGUGUGCGAUGAAGGCCCUAGGGUUGUAAAGCACUUUUGGCGGGGACGACGAUGACGGUACCCGCAGAAUAAGUCACGGCUAACUUCGUGCCAGCCGCCGCCGUAA